CAGAUGCCGACGUCACUUGAUUUAAUCAUUUUAAUACCAGAAUCUGAUGAAGGACAGAAGCUGCACGAUUUCUUAGAGAGUUUAAUUUUUAAUUUUUGGCCCGUGUGAAGACAUGUGUGCCUCCGGAGGUUGUGCUGAAGCGAGCUCCUCCUGGUGAACGCGUUCCCGCACGCAGUGCACGUGAGGCUGCUCAUGUAAGGAGACGGCAUCCUGGAGGGUCUUCGUGGCGUGCAAGGCCUCAUGAGCGCGCAGGUUGUAUUUGGUUUUGAAGCCCUUCUGGCAGACGGCGCAGACGAAAGGUCGCGCGUCCGUAAAAGAGAUUUUUCUUCAUGCAGCUAAACUUGAUGACUUGUUUUUUUUAAAUAUGAGUUGUAAAAGCAUUUCCAUGUCUAUUAUUUGCUUGUUUUCCGUUCGUUAAAAUAGUGUUUUUUUUGUUGUAUUAUCUCCGUAUGUAGUCCACUGCUGCAACCAUGAUGCAACCUAUGUUGGUCAUCUUUUACUAUUCUUAUCUUGUGUUCUGUGUCUCAUUUCUGCAAUUUCCUGCCUAUAAACAGUAAAAAUGGUCAUCUUGGGUUUAACUAGAGUCAUUUAUGAGUUUAUGAAAUCGUUUUUAUCUUCAGAUUACCGCUGAUCAGUCAAUAUUUGUUCCUAAAAGUCAAUAUUUCUCAGGAAUUGUGAAAACAAAAAAUACAUCAUGUCGAAUAAAGGUUUUAAAAAGUGGAUUUAAGUCAAUUAAAGUAUCUUAAAAGUC
This is a long non-coding RNA of Oryzias melastigma (Indian medaka), 751 nucleotides long. RefSeq lists it as uncharacterized. The transcript has 2 exons. The record is from RefSeq and is a predicted model, not a curated record. Lineage: Eukaryota; Metazoa; Chordata; Actinopteri; Beloniformes; Adrianichthyidae.